This 78-nucleotide transfer RNA is filed under the name Lentinula guzmanii. It matches the Rfam family "tRNA". Rfam says of the family: Transfer RNA (tRNA) molecules are approximately 80 nucleotides in length. Their secondary structure includes four short double-helical elements and three loops (D, anti-codon, and T loops). The record is from Rfam by way of RNAcentral. Lineage: Eukaryota; Fungi; Basidiomycota; Agaricomycetes; Agaricales; Omphalotaceae.
GGCCGCCUGGCGAAAUGGCAUCGCGUCUGACUACGAAUCGUUAUCAGGAGAUUGCAGGUUCGACCCCUGCGGUGGUCA